UCGCAGUCCUCGGUCUAGGCAGGCAGCAUCAACGCAGGCUAUAACACUUCACCGAAGUAAAGUCACAUUCCUACGCCAUUAUCCUACCGCCCAAACCGAUGCUGGCCCGAUAAGCUGCGGGUCACCCCGCCACGAAGGCAAGGCUCACAAAAUAUCGAGUCUGAUCUCAAACCCUUCCCUUUCAACAAUUUCACGUACUUUUUCACUCUCUUUUCAAAGUUCUUUUCAUCUUUCCAUCACUGUACUUGUUCGCUAUCGGUCUCUCGCCAAUAUUUAGCUUUAGAUGGAAUUUACCACCCACUUAGAGCUGCAUUCCCAAACAACUCGACUCUUCGAAAGCACCUUACAUAGGAUUGGGCAUCUCAUCGCACGGGAUUCUCACCCUCUGUGACGUCCUGUUCCAAGAAACAUAGACAAGAGCCAACCCCAAGGUUACAAUCUUCAAAUUACAACUCGGACACCGAAGGCGCCAGAUUUCAAAUUUGAGCUUUUGCCGCU
This 498-nucleotide ribosomal RNA is filed under the name Meyerozyma guilliermondii. Its description in RNAcentral is "partial large subunit ribosomal RNA". The record is from RNAcentral. Lineage: Eukaryota; Fungi; Ascomycota; Pichiomycetes; Serinales; Debaryomycetaceae.